Molecule: ribosomal RNA, 293 nt
Filed under: uncultured bacterium
Lineage: Bacteria
Description: partial 16S ribosomal RNA
Rfam family: Bacterial small subunit ribosomal RNA
Source: RNAcentral
UUCCCUACGGGGCGCAGCAGUGAGGAAUAUUGGUCAAUGGCCGAGAGGCUGAACCAGCCAAGUAGCGUGAAGGAUGAAGGUUCUAUGGAUUGUAAACUUCUUUUAUAAAGGAAUAAAGUGAGGCACGUGUGCCUUUUUGUAUGUACUUUAUGAAUAAGGAUCGGCUAACUCCGUGCCAGCAGCCGCGGUAAUACGUAGGAUCCGAGCGUUAUCCGGAUUUAUUGGGUUUAAAGGGAGCGUAGAUGGGUUGUUAAGUCAGUUGUGAAAGUUUGCGGCUCAACCGUAAAAUUGCA